Long non-coding RNA from Topomyia yanbarensis, 2778 nucleotides. RefSeq lists it as uncharacterized. Lineage: Eukaryota; Metazoa; Arthropoda; Insecta; Diptera; Culicidae. The record is from RefSeq and is a predicted model, not a curated record. The transcript has 4 exons.
CGCGUAUAAUUCUGGCUGGUUCUAAUUAGUAUUCGGCUGUAGCGCCACAAACGAUAGUUAUUAUAAUCGGUUGCGUCACAUGAGCCGCGUGCUAACUAGAGCCAGGAAGACUUGCGGUUCAUUUUCCAGCUGGUAGAGGAGGUGUCCUAAUUAUCACCUGCAGUGGUGAUUCAGUAAAAUCGUAGCCAGACACAAAAACGCAUUUUUGUCAAAUGCCAAUCUUGUUUGCUACCAGUUUCGUACACCAAAAUAUCUGUUUUAACAUCAUGAUUCAACCAUCCCAACCACGAUAUUUCAGCGUCAAUCACCAAUAUUUCCCAGCAGCAACAAAUUAAGACCAUCAUCCGUCCGAUCGUUCUAACGGCGGUUCUGCCAAAGGAUUUGACGUUAAUUAAAUAACCGCUACUAGAUGACCAUUGGCAAACAGCACAAGCUGCAGCAGAAACCACAAACUGGAAUAUCAUCCAGAUUCCGCAGCAGCAGAUACAGCAACAGCACCUUGAGGUACACACAACAGCAACAGUAUACAGCACAGUUCUAAGAAGCGGGAGCAUCUGAGGAAUCACUGUUCAACUUGUGUAUCAGCCGUAGCCAGCUAAUUUUUUUAAUUUCAAGAACAUCAGUACCUUGAUCAAUCGAAUUGGCCACAAAUCGCUCGACAGCAGCAACAGGACACCAAACACAACGGCAAGGUGCUCUGAACAUUUUCUGUCAAAACACGUUCUCCAGACAAACGGUAAUCAAGGGUUGGUGGAAUCGCAGAUCAUGCUCACGAAGAAAACUCGCAGCUCAUUAUUAUCCCAUUUUAUUCCAACAGCAAAAUGAAAUCAAUGAAUAUUGAAAAAAAUGUAAAAGGGAGUAUAGUUGUUAUUGAUAUGGAGAAAUGAGUUGAAAUGAUUUGAACGAGAGGUCAGAGACGAUAUGGUGAAAGAAUGUUAGUGUAGCAUUCUUUUCUAAUCCUGCUUAGAAAGGUGGCCUGGAGUAUGAUUUUUCAUGUCAGUCAGCUUGCUCGGUUUAUGCUGCUUAGAAAUAACGGCAAGUGAAGUGUAUAAAUGGAUAACAUGCAAGCUAUUGAACCGUCUCAAUUUGUGUACCUUUUUCGUGCUGAACAGUAUCUUAGGGUGCUUACAGAGUGGCGGCGAGAAGCUGAGCUGGGGCUGGAACUGACAUUAGAAUGCGAGAUGCGAGAAACCUGCUUGCUGCAAACCAAAGGGAUGAUGUCAGAGUGAAAGCUGAGCGGAUCGGCGCCGACUGCCUUCUUUUACUCUGACGGGUUUCAUUUGAUAUACUGCAAGCAGGUUUCUCGCAUCUCGCAUUUUACUGUCAGUACCAGCCCCUGCUCAGCUUCUCGCGGCCACUCUGUAAGCACCCUUACUGUUGCUGUGACAAGAUGAUUAGUACCUAGGACAAUAGUACUGUACAAUGCAAUUCCCAAAUCAAAAUGCUGGCACACUAUUGGAAGUGAACAAAUCCGCUGCGAAGAUCAAGUAUCCAUUAUUGUUCAGCAAUGAUGGUCAGUUAAGCGAUUAGUGCCUUAUUCGAGACUCACGAAAUUUCAAGAGUGAAUAAGAUCUUUCCUCGCGUGCAAUUUGAAAAGGGCCAAUAAACUGUUUAAAGUCACUUCCACUAGAAUCACGGCAGGAUCCUUACAAGAAUUAUUGGACAUUUCACACCCAAUUGAACUAUCCCAUAAGUGUACACACUACUGCAAAUGCAGGUUUACAUUGUUUUAUCUAGGAAGUGUCAGUACAUUUGUUGUUAGAUGUAUAACAAUCUCUGCACCUUAACCGAUUUGAUAUAUUUAGUUAAUCGUGCACUUUUGCGUCAGCUACCCGGUCAGCGUGGCAAGCAGAAAGUUAGCAAAAGUUGAGCAAAGCGAAAUUGAUGCUGGCAGAGUUUCUGCGAGCAUUUUGCGAAAUUUGUACGAGAAUUCUGGCAACGAAUUCGCUCAAAUGCAACAACCGUUUCUGACAGAAGCGGUUAAACCAACCGAUGCUGCUCACUUUUAUUCAGAAUCGAGCCAGAAAUGUACGGCUAAGAUCUCUGCACGCUUCCUGCCACAUCUUUGUCAGAUGUUUUGCUCGAUUCGUGCUAAAUUCUACUAGGUAGGAAUUGCCAGGAUUUUUGCACAGUUUAUGUCCGAGUUAUUCCAGGGUUUAGCUCGGUUCCUGUCAAAAUUUGCCAGAAAACGCGAGCGAAACCAAGUUCGCCCUAGCUCAACUAACCCGACAGGAUACGCGCAGAAAUCUGACAGGGCUGCCAAACCAAGACUUACAGAAAUCUAGCAGAGCGGUCUCUGCCAGAAAAUUUGCUCACUGGGUAAGUGUGCACACUUGUCUGAUAGUCCGAUUUGGUAUGAAAUGUGCAAUCAAACUAAGCAUGAAAUUUUGUUUGCUGUGUGAAUAAAUAUUUCUCGAGUGAUUUUGGAAAAAAACCAAUUAUCUAUCCCUAUGUGAAAGACUUUGAGGGGUAAUCCCGGAUCAAUACUAACGAAAUUUUGUAAUCAUUAUUUGAAACUACGCAUGAUGUGAUUGCUCGCUUUAUUAAUAAACACCUAGUUAUAUCAAGUUUUGAAAAUCUCGUUAAUAUAUGCUUGUACCGUUUACUCUCGCCGUUCCCAGGAAAUUCUGCCUGGUCUUUUUAAUCUCGCUUAAAUUUUAUUGUACUAAGAUUAACCCAAGUGUUUUAACCACAGAACAGACGUCCAUCUUCAUCAUUCAACUUGUGUAAAAAACCCUGUUUCGAAGGUAGUUGGGACAUCUUCGCCAGGUGUGCUAC